GAAAUGCGAAAAGUAGUGUGAAUUGCAGAAUUCAGUGAAUCAUCGAAUCUUUGAACGCACAUUGCGCCCCUUGGUAUUCCAUGGGGCAUGCCUGUUCGAGCGUCAUUUGUACCUUCAAGCUCUGCUUGGUGUUGGGUGUUUGUCCCGCUUUUUUGUGCGGACUCGCCUCAAAGCAAUUGGCAGCCGGCGUACUAGCCUGGGAGCGCAGCACAUUUUGCGCGUCUCAACUGGAACGCUUGCGUCCAUGAAGCCUAAAUUUUUGCUCUUGACCUCGGAUCAGGUAGGGAUACCCGCUGAACUUAA
RNAcentral lists this unclassified non-coding RNA (303 nucleotides) under uncultured Pyrenochaeta. RNAcentral describes it as "sequence contains ITS1". The stretch from base 1 to 105 matches the Rfam family "5.8S ribosomal RNA", at positions 50 to 154 of the family's 154-position model. Lineage: Eukaryota; Fungi; Ascomycota; Dothideomycetes; Pleosporales; Pleosporaceae. The record is from RNAcentral.